CCAGGCGCCCCAGACGCGAGACCUAAACUAUGUCUCACUCCUAGUAUCUGUUGGACACAGCCAUUGCAUUGUUGCAACUAUUGCUCGUAUUUAUUCCAAUCUACUGCAAGAACCGCGCCAACAACACCGUUCAUUACACCCACGUCAUCCAAAGCAUGUGAACCAGGAGAUGUAGACAUUAGACCAGAAGUAUGUACUAACAUUAUUAUCUGCCAGACACGGCCAACACUGUGCUGUCACUAUUGCUCGUUACAUUACAUUUAUAGAACUACAAGCACCACACAAUUAACUUCCCCCAAAGAGUGUGUACCAGAAGAACCAGACUUAAAUCCAGAGCUGUGUACUAGCAUAACUAUCUGCCAGACACAGCCAUAUAUGUGCUGUAACUAUUGCUCAUUACAUGACAGUUCUGCAACCUUUCUCAUUGUGGAAUAUUUGAAUUUUUUUUUUUGCUUUACUUUUUUUUUAUUUAUAAUACAACAAUAACAAAAUGUAUACUAGAAAUAGAUCGAUCUAGAAUAUCCCAUUAACCCCCAAAACUUAAAGUAAAUUAAAUAUAAAUUUUCUAUGAAAUAUCGAUUUCUAUUGGCCAAACUAAGACACUACAAAAAGAUUUUUUUUUUAAAUUCCAAGUAGUAACGAUUCUGUGAGAUGUACUCUGGCAGUCUACUUAACAGGAAGUGACCACGUGAGGAACAUUAUAUAAAAAAAUAUUUUUUUUUUUUACAAUCUUUAAGUGAAAACAGAUUAGUUAAUAACAUUAAAAAACACACAAAUUAAGCAUUUUAAUGCCAAAAAAGUAUAUUUUAAUGCUUUUUUUACUAACAAAUUAUAACAAUAUAGUAAAAAAAAUAGGCAUCAAAUGUACAACAUUAUUUGGUACUAACCAGUACUAUCCAGAUAUAUUUUUUACAACAACAAAUAA
Long non-coding RNA from Biomphalaria glabrata, 925 nucleotides. RefSeq lists it as uncharacterized. Lineage: Eukaryota; Metazoa; Mollusca; Gastropoda; Planorbidae. The transcript has 3 exons. The record is from RefSeq and is a predicted model, not a curated record.